UGGGGAAUUUUGGACAAUGGGCGCAAGCCUGAUCCAGCAAUGCCGCGUGCGGGAAGAAGGCCUUCGGGUUGUAAACCGCUUUUGUCAGGGAAGAAAUCUCUUGAGCUAAUACCUCGGGGGGAUGACGGUACCUGAAGAAUAAGCACCGGCUAACUACGUGCCAGCAGCCGCGGUAAUACGUAGGGUGCGAGCGUUAAUCGGAAUUACUGGGCGUAAAGCGUGCGCAGGCGGUUGUGCAAGACAGAUGUGAAAUCCCCGGGCUCAACCUGGGAACCGCAUUUGUGACUGCACGGCUAGAGUGCGGCAGAGGGGGAUGGAAUUCCGCGUGUAGCAGUGAAAUGCGUAGAUAUGCGGAGGAACACCGAUGGCGAAGGCAAUCCCCUGGGCCUGCACUGACGCUCA
RNAcentral lists this ribosomal RNA (402 nucleotides) under uncultured bacterium. RNAcentral's name for it is "bacterial SSU rRNA". It matches the Rfam family "Bacterial small subunit ribosomal RNA", at positions 355 to 749 of the family's 1533-position model. The record is from RNAcentral.